UAUAGACCUUACCCGGGGGUCUAGUCCCUCCCACCCCCACCUCCACUCGUCCUGGGGGUAUGCCACUCUACGCUCUUACCUUAGAAGAGCCGUAACAGCUAGAAAACAUUUAUUUGUUCUGCAGGUCCACUUUACGUUUUUCCUACCAAGAGGAAAACAAUGGAGAUGAUAAGUGAAACGAAAUUGGGAAAACGUUAAGAGGUGAUGAAGGUGGGAGAUGGGUACAAGAGUGUUGGUUAGAAAACCUGAAUGGGAGCCCAGCCUCAGAACACUGGAUGCUGUUAGCUUUGCUGCCCUCCUGGAUCAACUUUAUGUUUUUGAGCUUCCUACAUGUUUGCCUACAGUCAUAGCAGUUUUAAUUGCUGGAUAAUAUUACAUUGUAUGAAAAUACCACAUUCUAUCCAUUUUACUGUGGAUGAUGGAUUUUGGAUAUCUUUCCAGUUUAUCACGAUUAUAAAAACUGCUGCAAUUCAUGCGCCCCCCCCCCCCCCCCGCCCCACCACAUCUCUUUGUACAUACAUCCAAGAGUUUUUUCUAUGUUAGAUACCUAUAAGUGGAAUUUUUAAGCCUCAGGGCAUGAGCAUUUUCAACUGGAUUGAGUAGCAUCAAUGGAUUUCCUGAGAAGUUGAACUAACUUCCACUCCCGUCAACUCUCUAUGAGAGUUCCUGUGGUGACACAUCCUCACCAACAGGUUUACCUGUUUUUGAUACGUAAAAAUAAAAUUCAGAAUGAUUACAAGUCUGUAUCUUCUUCUUUAUAUAAAGCUAACCACAGAGCAGAUGCUCAGUAAAAAUUCUCUGGUUGCUAGAUUUUGGAGACUAUAUUCUAGAAAAUUCAAGACCACUAUACUUAAACAUACAAGUUCUAUUUCCAUAGAUAAGAGAACGCUCUGCUUUUAUUUUUAAAUAACAAAUACAUACAUACUAAACAUAUAUGCAGACACAUACUACACUCAAACCAAUGUGUAAUGCUUGAUUAUUAACAAAAAGCAUGGGGGCAAAGAAACACUAUUUCUUCAGUUAAAAAAAGAGAACCUGAAAUUUUUCUA
This is a long non-coding RNA of Lynx canadensis (Canada lynx), 1049 nucleotides long. RefSeq lists it as uncharacterized. The transcript is spliced from 3 exons. Lineage: Eukaryota; Metazoa; Chordata; Mammalia; Carnivora; Felidae. The record is from RefSeq and is a predicted model, not a curated record.